CUACGGGGGGCUCCAGUGGGGAAUUUUGGACAAUGGGCGAAAGCCUGAUCCAGCCAUUCCGCGUGAGUGAUGAAGGCCUUCGGGUUGUAAAGCUCUUUCGGCCGGGAAGAAAUCGUGCAGGCUAAUAUCCUGCAUGGAUGACGGUACCGGAUCAAGAAGCACCGGCUAACUACGUGCCAGCAGCCGCGGUAAUACGUAGGGUGCGAGCGUUAAUCGGAAUUACUGGGCGUAAAGCGUGCGCAGGCGGAUGUUUAAGCCAGAUGUGAAAUCCCCGGGCUUAACCUGGGAAUGGCAUUUGGAACUGGACAUCUAGAGUGUGUCAGAGGGGGGUGGAAUUCCACGUGUAGCAGUGAAAUGCGUAGAGAUGUGGAGGAACACCGAUGGCGAAGGCAGCCCCCUGGGAUAACACUGACGCUCAUGCACGAAAGCGUGGGGAGCAAACAGGAUUAGAUACCCGGGUAGUC
RNAcentral lists this ribosomal RNA (464 nucleotides) under uncultured bacterium. Its description in RNAcentral is "partial 16S ribosomal RNA". It matches the Rfam family "Bacterial small subunit ribosomal RNA", at positions 339 to 795 of the family's 1533-position model. The record is from RNAcentral.